RNAcentral lists this ribosomal RNA (741 nucleotides) under uncultured Bacilli bacterium. RNAcentral's name for it is "bacterial SSU rRNA". It matches the Rfam family "Bacterial small subunit ribosomal RNA", at positions 66 to 776 of the family's 1533-position model. The record is from RNAcentral. Lineage: Bacteria; Bacillati; Bacillota; Bacilli.
ACGAAACUUUCUUACACCGAAUGCUUGCAUUCACCGUAAGAAGUUGAGUGGCGGACGGGUGAGUAACACGUGGGUAACCUGCCUAAAAGAAGGGGAUAACACUUGGAAACAGGUGCUAAUACCGUAUAUCUCUAAGGAUCGCAUGAUUCUUAGAUGAAGGAUGGUUCUGCUAUCGCUUUUAGAUGGACCCGCGGCGUAUUAACUAGUUGGUGGGGUAACGGCCUACCAAAGUGAUGAUACGUAGCCGAACUGAGAGGUUGAUCGGCCACAUUGGGACUGAGACACGGCCCAAACUCCUACGGGAGGCAGCAGUAGGGAAUCUUCCACAAUGGACGCAAGUCUGAUGGAGCAACGCCGCGUGAGUGAAGAAGGUCUUCGAAUCGUAAAACUCUGUUGUUAGAGAAGAACACGAGUGAGAGUAACUGUUCAUUCGAUGACGGUAUCUAACCAGCAAGUCACGGCUAACUACGUGCCAGCAGCCGCGGUAAUACGUAGGUGGCAAGCGGUGUCCGGAUUUAUUGGGCGUAAAGGGAACGCAGGCGGUCUUUUAAGUCUGAUGUGAAAGCCUUCGGCUUAACCGGAGUAGUGCAUUGGAAACUGGAAGACUUGAGUGCAGAAGAGGAGAGUGGAACUCCAUGUGUAGCGGUGAAAUGCGUAGAUAUAUGGAAGAACACCAGUGGCGAAAGCGGCUCUCUGGUCUGUAACUGACGCUGAGGUUCGAAAGCGUGGGUAGCAAACAGG